This 689-nucleotide ribosomal RNA is filed under the name uncultured bacterium. RNAcentral describes it as "bacterial SSU rRNA". It matches the Rfam family "Bacterial small subunit ribosomal RNA", at positions 8 to 692 of the family's 1533-position model. The record is from RNAcentral.
AGAGUUUGAUCCUGGCUCAGGACGAACGCUGGCGGCGGGCUUAGCACAUGCAAGUCGAACGAGAAAGGGUCCUUCGGGACCUGAGUACAGUGGCGCACGGGUGAGUAACGCGUAGGCAACCUACCCUCAGGCGGGGAAUAACCACGGGAAACCGUGGCUAAUACCGCAUGACUGUCCGAACCCCGCAUGGGGAUCGGAUCAAAGGCUUCGGCCACCUGAGGAUGGGCCUGCGUCGGAUUAGCUUGUUGGUGAGGUAAUGGCUCACCAAGGCAACGAUCCGUAGCUGGUCUGAGAGGAUGAUCAGCCACACUGGCACUGAGACACGGGCCAGACUCCUACGGGAGGCAGCAGUGAGGAAUCUUGCGCAAUGGAGGAAACUCUGACGCAGCCACGCCGCGUGCAGGAAGACACCCCUCAGGGGCGUAAACUGCUUUUAUACGGGAAGAACACCCUACUCGGUAGGGUCUGACGGUACCGUACGAAUAAGGACCGGCUAACUCCGUGCCAGCAGCCGCGGUAAUACGGAGGGUCCAAGCGUUGUCCGGAAUCACUGGGUGUAAAGGGUGUGUAGGCGGGCCUGCAAGUCAGAGGUGAAAGCCCCCGGCCUAACCGGGGAAUUGCCUUUGAGACUGCAGGUCUUGAGUCCUGGAGGGGUCACUAGAAUUCGUGGUGUAGCGGUGAAAUGCGUA